RNAcentral lists this long non-coding RNA (647 nucleotides) under Panax ginseng (ginseng). Its description in RNAcentral is "long non-coding RNA (PGIN_LNC014759)". The record is from RNAcentral. Lineage: Eukaryota; Viridiplantae; Streptophyta; Magnoliopsida; Apiales; Araliaceae.
UCGGCUUCUUUUACAUUAUACGUACUUGUCUUUAAUUCAGCUUCUUCACCGUUCAUAGGUUUAAUCAUUGAUCUUCAUUACCUUAUGGUCAAACCAUACAUGGGGUGUAGGUUCUACCCGUUUAAUAUUCGCGUACACUUAACCUUUAUGUCGGUUCAAGUGUUCAACGCUUAUAUUUCAUUCUAAUAUUCUCCUUUGAUUCACAUUCGACUUUCGUUAAUCUUAUUACCAUUCACUACGACUUUCUUGAUAAUUCCUAUCUUACUUACUACAUUCGUCAACGUUUAAGUUAUACAACCAAUGUACACUUAGAACGUUCGCUCGUCAUGAAUACAAUUCAUGAGAAUCGUUUACGUAUUCCACGUUUACGUUGUUCAUCCCUUAAUCCCUCAUUCAACCUUUAUCGAAGGUUUUAAUCGCUUUCAUUCAUUACUCGUCACCUGAAACCCAUGUUUAUUAUUCUUUCUUAAUGUCGAAGCCAUACAAUUCGUUGUAUGCUAAGACUGAUCGCUCAUCGCAACAGCGUUGCAGUCACAGCGUCUAAACGCUUUACAUUCAUCUCUCAUUACCAGGACAUAACAUCGAAAUGUUAUUCAUUACCCUCGUCAAUCAACGUCUAAGGAAUCACCAUCAUAGCAAUCCCUCAC